This 120-nucleotide ribosomal RNA is filed under the name uncultured bacterium. RNAcentral's name for it is "partial 16S ribosomal RNA". It matches the Rfam family "Bacterial small subunit ribosomal RNA", at positions 28 to 150 of the family's 1533-position model. The record is from RNAcentral.
GACGAACGCUGGCGGCGUGCUUAACACAUGCAAGUCGAGCGGAAAGGCCCUUCGGGGUACUCGAGCGGCGAACGGGUGAGUAACACGUGAGUAACCUGCCCUAGGCUUUGGGAUAACCCU